GACGAACGCUGGCGGCGUGCUUAACACAUGCAAGUCGAACGGAAAGGCCCUGCUUUUGUGGGGUGCUCGAGUGGCGAACGGGUGAGUAACACGUGAGUAACCUGCCCUUGACUUUGGGAUAACUUCAGGAAACUGGGGCUAAUACCGGAUAGGAGCUCCUGCUGCAUGGUGGGGGUUGGAAAGUUUCGGCGGUUAGGGAUGGACUCGCGGCUUAUCAGCUUGUUGGUGGGGUAGUGGCUUACCAAGGCUUUGACGGGUGGCCGGCCUGAGAGGGUGACCGGCCACAUUGGGACUGAGAUACGGCCCAGACUCCUACGGGAGGCAGCAGUGGGGAAUAUUGCACAAUGGGCGGAAGCCUGAUGCAGCAACGCCGCGUGCGGGAUGACGGCCUUCGGGUUGUAAACCGCUUUCGCCUGUGACGAAGCGUGAGUGACGGUAAUGGGUAAAGAAGCACCGGCUAACUACGUG
This 468-nucleotide ribosomal RNA is filed under the name uncultured bacterium. RNAcentral's name for it is "partial 16S ribosomal RNA". It matches the Rfam family "Bacterial small subunit ribosomal RNA", at positions 28 to 507 of the family's 1533-position model. The record is from RNAcentral.